AUUGAACGCUGGCGGCAGGCUUAACACAUGCAAGUCGGACGGUAACAGGGAGGAAGCUUGCUUUCUUUGCUGACGAGUGGCGGACGGGUGAGUAAUGCUUGGGAAUCUGUUUUAUGGAGGGGGAUAACUACGGGAAACUGUAGCUAAUACCGCGUAAUAUCGAGAGAUUAAAGUGUGGGACCGUAAGGCCACAUGCCAUAGAGUGAGCCCAAGUGGGAUUAGGUAGUUGGUGGGGUAAAGGCCUACCAAGCCGUCGAUCUCUAGCUGGUCUGAGAGGAUGACCAGCCACACUGGGACUGAGACACGGCCCAGACUCCUACGGGAGGCAGCAGUGGGGAAUAUUGCACAAUGGGCGCAAGCCUGAUGCAGCCAUGCCGCGUGAAUGAAGAAGGCCUUCGGGUUGUAAAGUUCUUUCGGUGGUGAGGAAGGUUGUAAUGUUAAUAGCAUUAUAAUUUGACGUUAGCCACAGGAGAAGCACCGGCUAACUCCGUGCCAGCAGCCGCGGUAAUACGGAGGGUGCGAGCGUUAAUCGGAAUAACUGGGCGUAAAGGGCACGCAGGCGGAUACUUAAGUGAGGUGUGAAAGCCCUGGGCUUAACCUAGGAAUUGCAUUUCAUACUGGGUAUCUAGAGUAUUUUAGGGAGGGGUAGAAUUCCACGUGUAGCGGUGAAAUGCGUAGAGAUGUGGAGGAAUACCGAAGGCGAAGGCAGCCCCUUGGGGGAAUACUGACGCUCAUGUGCGAAAGCGUGGGGAGCAAACAGG
Molecule: ribosomal RNA, 761 nt
Filed under: uncultured bacterium
Lineage: Bacteria
Description: bacterial SSU rRNA
Rfam family: Bacterial small subunit ribosomal RNA
Source: RNAcentral